UGGGGAAUAUUGCGCAAUGGGGGAAACCCUGACGCAGCAACGCCGCGUGGGUGAAGAAGGCCUUCGGGUUGUAAAGCCCUUUCGGCCGGGAAGAAGGGUGUACGUACUAAUAAUGCGUGCAUUUGAUGGUACCGGAGGAAGAAGCACCGGCAAACUUCGUGCCAGCAGCCGCGGUAAUACGAAGGGUGCGAGCGUUGUUCGGAAUUAUUGGGCGUAAAGGGUUCGUAGGCGGGAAUGUAAGUUGAGUGUGAAAACCCUGGGCUCAACCCGGGACGUGCAUUCAAUACUGCGUAUCUUGAGUUCUGGAGAGGGUGGUGGAAUUGCUGGUGUAGGAGUGACAUCCGUAGAGAUCAGCAGGAACGCCGGAGGCGAAAGCGACCGCCUGGCCAGAUACUGACGCUGAGGAACGAAAGCGUGGGGAGCAAACAGG
RNAcentral lists this ribosomal RNA (430 nucleotides) under uncultured bacterium. RNAcentral describes it as "bacterial SSU rRNA". It matches the Rfam family "Bacterial small subunit ribosomal RNA", at positions 355 to 776 of the family's 1533-position model. The record is from RNAcentral.